RNAcentral lists this ribosomal RNA (352 nucleotides) under uncultured soil bacterium. RNAcentral's name for it is "bacterial SSU rRNA". It matches the Rfam family "Bacterial small subunit ribosomal RNA", at positions 26 to 371 of the family's 1533-position model. The record is from RNAcentral.
AGAACGAACGCUGGCGGCGGGCCUCAUACAUGCAAGUCGAGCGCGAAAGUCCGCAAGGAUGAGUAAAGCGGCGCACGGGUGAGUAACACGUGGAUAAUCUACCCCUUGGAUUGGAAUAACCUGUCGAAAGACGGGCUAAUGCCGAGUGCGCUUAUGAGAUUGUGAUGAUCUUAUAAGGAAAGGUGGCGCAAGCUACCGCCGAGGGAUGAGUCUGCGCCCCAUUAGUUAGUUGGUGAGGUAAUGGCUUACCAAGACAAUGAUGGGUACCUGGUUUGAGAGAAUGACCAGGCACACUGGAACUGAAACACGGUCCAGACUCCUACGGGAGGCAGCAGUAGGGAAUAUUGCGCAA